GCGCUCUCUCCCGCGCAGCGCGCCCUCCUUGUCCCACCAUGUGCUUUCAAAGGGCGAUGAAUCUACGGGCUUUAAAUGGCUCUGCUCGGGGGUCGCGGCGGGAUGUCCACAGGUGCCCCCCCCCCCCCCCCGCGUCCGGGCUGUCCCGAGCCUCUCCAGGGGCUAGGAGCACAAACUCCGUUCAUAGAAACGUAAACGGAGGCCCCAGGAGUGAAAGCGCCCUAUCCAGGAUCCUUUGGCGCUGUAAAUCCUCAGCUCUUGGAUUCGGUGACCGCCAACUGCUGGGUGGAAUGGGUAACCUCUCUAGUGAGCAAAACGGCGCCUUCUGCCCGCGGAACUGCAAGACCCACGCUACUCUCCUCCCUGCUGCAUAUUCAUUGAUGCGGACGCGACCCUGGAGGAAAGUUCAGUCCUGAGGUGGAGAGGGUUGGGGGUGGCGGAAUGGGACCCCGGGCUGCCCUGGACCGCGGCCGGGUGGACGGUGGGGGGGAAUGCUGGGGCUGCCCAGCAGGAGGACAGACAGCAGUCACCCGUGACGGUGCUUUCCCUGUGGCCUGCACAUUCCGAGAGCCGCCCAAAGACGUGGGCGCAGAGAGGCCUCCUAGCAGAACGCCCCAGGCAAGGUGAGGCCAGGUGCAGGAGCGCCUCAAACCUCAAGGACCAGCAAACAAACCUCCUGAUGGGUAGGCGAGCUGCAUAGGUGAGAGCAGCAGAGUACCUCCACGCUCAUGCUGUGUGAGAAGCUGACUGUCAUCCCCACAGAGGAGAAAAUGGUCGUAGUCUCAGUGUAGCCUGCUGCUUUGCUGUGCUUGUUGUGGAACAUCACAGAAAUCCGAUCUGCUGGAUGUGAAGACCCACAACUGGUGGGGUUGCUGAUAGGCAGUUUGUUCGCUCUGCUUUGUAAUGUUCUGGCAUGCGGUACUAGUCAUCCCUUCUGUUGAUGGGCCAGUGCCCCUGGUUUAGAGCUACUGUGCAGUGAGUUGCUUUGGACAUAUCUUUGUAGGCUCUUGGCAGCAGUUAGACCCUGGGGUGUACUGUUAGGUCACCAGGUUGUGUGUGUGUUAGCUUUGGUGGAUAACCCAAAACAGUUUGUCCAAGUGAUAGCUGGGUCUGCAGUCCUGCAGCACUCUGGGAAGGCCCCAGUGUUAGCAUAGGUAGCUAGAUGUUUGUAAAGGAAAGAAGCAAAGGGAAUCUGACACUGUUGAGCCUCGUGGGUGAGGGAGCUGAAUUGGACACUGGGCCUGUUUAGCUGGGAAGUUGCCGCAUUCAUGGGCUCCCUAGGGGAUUGCAGCAUUGUUCCCCCAAGAGGAUUAGCGCCUCUCCCUUCCCUGUGUAGGUAGGAAGGACCAAUUUUUCUCUCUUCCCAGGAUACAGCCGUCCACCUCCCCUCCCCCAGACUACAUGGGGAAGAAAUAAACAAUAAAAAGGAAAUUCUUCUGCUGGGCACAUGCCCAGUAGAAGCCAAGAUGAUAAGGGGGAGGUGUUUCCACUUUGAGGCAUGCACAAUAGAAGCUGAGAUGGUGGCCAUAAAGUCCUGUCUGUCUAGUCUGAGAAAAGGAAUAGUUGUAGAAAAUGGAUUGGUUAAGGGGAGGACCUAGUGCCAGCCUGCGAAAUAUUGGGAAGUUUAUUGGUUAGUUUGAAGGAGGUCCCAGUCCCUCCCAAGGCCAAGAUGAUAUAAUCUGAUAUAAUCCCAGUUUAACAAAGAAUCAGUCUCUCUUUCCCCCUCCCUUCCUCUCCCCCUCCCAAAACAUGUGCUCUCUGGGUAACUCAAGCCCUGUUCAUUCGUUUAUUUAGGUGUUCUCUCUCCAUAGCAGCUAUGUGGCCCUAACAGCUGCCUGGGGCCAACAGCAGACAGCACAAGCCUAGGCACAGUGCCAGCCAGAGUGCAGCCAGGAACAGACUAUGCUAGCUGAAUGACAAUAAACAGGGACUAAACUAUACUAAACUUAGGCAUGGCACAUGACUUUUGGGCCUUGACUUUUUUUGUACUGGGCUAGAUGAAGACCAGACUGGAUUUUUUUUUCACAGUGGGAUGAAUGGAGAUGAAGUACUUGGAACCUGGGGGUAGUCUUCUAUCUCCACCCAAAUAAAUUUUGCCAGCAGACCUCA
Long non-coding RNA from Phyllostomus discolor (pale spear-nosed bat), 2109 nucleotides. RefSeq lists it as uncharacterized. The record is from RefSeq and is a predicted model, not a curated record. The transcript is spliced from 2 exons. NCBI's taxonomy places the organism in Eukaryota, Metazoa, Chordata, Mammalia, Chiroptera, Phyllostomidae.